AGUGAACGCUGGCGGUAGGCCUAACACAUGCAAGUCGAACGGCAGCACAGUAAGAGCUUGCUCUUACGGGUGGCGAGUGGCGGACGGGUGAGGAAUACAUCGGAAUCUACUUUUUCGUGGGGGAUAACGUAGGGAAACUUACGCUAAUACCGCAUACGACCUACGGGUGAAAGCAGGGGAUCUUCGGACCUUGCGCGAUUGAAUGAGCCGAUGUCGGAUUAGCUAGUUGGCGGGGUAAAGGCCCACCAAGGCGACGAUCCGUAGCUGGUCUGAGAGGAUGAAAGGGGCAGCGGGGAGUAGGAGACGGUCCAAACACGGACGGGGGGGCAAGGGGGGAAGUAUGAGGCAGGGGGGGGAGGCGUAAACCAGCAAUGCCGGGGGGGUAAAGAAGGCCUUCGGGUUGGAAAGCCUUUUUGGGGGGAAAGAAAAGAAGCAGGUGAAAACCCCGCUGUUGUGACGGUACCCAAAAAAAAAACACCGGCUAACUUCGU
This 491-nucleotide ribosomal RNA is filed under the name uncultured bacterium. RNAcentral's name for it is "partial 16S ribosomal RNA". It matches the Rfam family "Bacterial small subunit ribosomal RNA", at positions 30 to 506 of the family's 1533-position model. The record is from RNAcentral.